Long non-coding RNA from Bos taurus (domestic cattle), 663 nucleotides. Lineage: Eukaryota; Metazoa; Chordata; Mammalia; Artiodactyla; Bovidae. The record is from Ensembl.
AUCUGAAUCUUCCCUGGUGGCUCAGAGGCCUUGUGUAAUCCCACUCUCCUUGGUGUGGGCUCUACCUAGUGACUUGCUUCUAGUGAACAGAACACAGUGAAGUUCCAUGUUGUGAGAUGCUCUACGGAGAGGCUCACAUGGCAAAGGAUCAAAAGAAGCCUAUGGCCAACAGCUCAUGAAGAAGUGAAGUCUCAGUUCAACAAUUUGCAAGAAACUGACUCCUGCCAACAGUGGCACGACUGAACGUGGAAGUGGAUCCUUCCCAGCUGAGUCUUCUGAUGCCAGAUGACUGCAGCCCAGGGCCACACUUUCAUGCCAGCCUUGUGACAGAGUCAGAGUCAGAGAACCCAGCUAAACCAUGCCAGACUUCUGAAUCAUGGAAAUUGAGACAAUAAGGGAUUUCCAGUAGAGUGACACUCCUGGCUUCUUGUCCCACCUGAUUGGUGCAUCUGGAAGAAGGAACUGAACAUGCUCAGCAGGUCUCUCUUAGGGGAGCUGCUUGCCUGCAGAGAAAGUGCAUUCUGGGCUUAAGCAGAGCAGGCUCUGCCCAUCAGUUUUGCCUGAUGUUGGGGGUGGGGGUAAGUUCAACUUAGAAGAGUAUUAGCAAGCUGUGUCCUCCAAAAGAGCUUCUUAUCGGUAAUAAAGCUGACACUUUGAUCUCCA